Molecule: long non-coding RNA, 742 nt
Organism: Salvia miltiorrhiza (redroot sage)
Lineage: Eukaryota; Viridiplantae; Streptophyta; Magnoliopsida; Lamiales; Lamiaceae
Exons: 3
Source: RefSeq, a predicted model, not a curated record
GCGGAUUUAAUUUAAAUAUUAGAACAACAAACGAAUUAAAUCUACGGAUUUAAUUUAGAUUCAUUUUAUAAUUUAUCGAUUUAAGCGAGAAAUCACAUGUCGAAAUACGAGAAUUAUUUAAAUAAACAGUAUCAAGCAGAUACGAGCACGCGAUCCAUCUUACAGUUACAGAAUCACCGAGACAGAGAAAAUACAUCAAUAAUUCUCCUCUACAUUUUUUUUUUCUUUCUUUUUCUUCUCUUUUUCUUUCCAUUAAUUUUGUUCCCCACUUCAUUUUACCACUAAAUCUACUUUUUGACUUUCACCACCAUUUUCCCCACCACUUUCACCACCAUUUUCUCCACUACUCAAUUAUGCAACAACACAUAUUGUUCCAGCCAUCAAGUCUUUUCUUCCCUCACCAAAACGUGUAGAAGAAGUUGAGAAAGGGAGAGAGAGUUUCCUCCAACUCCAAAUUGUAACUUGAAGAGGUCAAGGGCGAGAUUGAUAAUCUGUUGAGGAGCUUUUGUAUCACAGAAAAUUACUAUCAGGUUGAGCAGCUGCCGAUGGUGAUGAAGUGGCGAGCGAGACUCUUUUGUCUUAUUAUGUAUUAAUGAACUCUAGGGUUACAUGUCUUCAUACAUGUAAUCAGAACCGUAUUCCGCUGCGUACUCAGAAGUUUUAUGUUAUUUUGGAUAAGUCGGAGUUAUCCGAAUUUACUAGUUAUUUGAGUCUAUACGACUAAAACUCCGUUAUAUUAUAA